Molecule: ribosomal RNA, 1650 nt
Filed under: Triticum aestivum (bread wheat)
Lineage: Eukaryota; Viridiplantae; Streptophyta; Magnoliopsida; Poales; Poaceae
Description: partial small subunit ribosomal RNA
Source: RNAcentral
AUGCCCCCGCUUCCGCGCCUCUUCGCCUCCGUCAGACACAUCUGCUCCAGCUCCGCCUCCGAGCUCGCCCCGGUACCGACCGCCGUCUCUGACGCCGCCUCCCGCGCGGCAGCCGCCGUGCUCCGCGCCCCGCGCUUCGAGCCCCGCCUCCUGUCGCUCGUCCCACGCCAACUGCUCUUCGAGCCGAGCUGCGUCCGCCAAACCCUCUCCCGUCUCCUCCCCUCCCCUGAACCCUCGCUNNNNNNNNNNNNNNNNNNNNNNNNNNNNNNNNNNNNNNNNNNNNNNNNNNNNNCCCCUUCGCCUCACCUCCCCGGGAUCGACGCCUUCCUCCUCAGCCUCCAGCCACAUCUCGCCGCCGAUGCCGCCGCGCUGCUAGCCUCCCACCUCCGCCUCCACCCCUCCCUGCCCGCACUCAACGCGGCAUCCCGUGCCGCUCUCCGGGCCGCGCGCCCCGACCUCGUCUUCCGCCUCUUUUCCACCUUCUCCUCCUCCCCUGCCUUCCCAGGCAACGCGGACACCGUCGCCUGCCUCGUGCGCGCCUGUGCAGCCGACUGCCGCCCGCUCGAUGGCCUCCGCCUCCUCCGGGAUGCUGCACGACGUGGCUCCCCUCCCUCGUCUGCUGCUGCCGCCGACCUUGUCACGUCCUUUGUGGCCAUCGGCAACUUCGCAAAGGUGUCUGAGACGCUCCACCUCAUGAUCUCUGCGGGAUGUCCUCCAGCUACGUUUGUCUACCAGCGUGUCAUACAUGGGCUCUUUGCGCAUGGGAUGGGCGGCGAGGCCCUUCGUGUCUUCAGCGAGAUCAAGCUGCGUGGUUAUGCCAUAGAUGUAGUCACUUACAGCACAGUGCUCACCGGUUUAUGUAAAAUGGGCCAUAUUGCCGAUGCGCAGCAGAUGUGGGAUGAGAUGGUGGACAAAGGUAUACAGCCCAGUGAGUAUGCAUAUUGCUCUUUUCUCGAUUACUACUGUGAAGCUGGUGAUUUUGGGAUGGCUCUCAAGGUGUAUGAAGAAAUGCUUGACAAGGGGUUCAAGGAGAGCACAGUUAGCUGUAACAUUAUCGCCAAAGGGUUUUGUGUUCAUAGGAGGGUGGACGAAGCAGUUGGGGUGUUCAAGGGAAUGGUUACUAAAGGGAUUGAACAUGAUGUGAUAACUUAUAACACGUUGAUUCAGGGCCUAUGCAAGGUUGGUAGGUUGGCUGAGGCGAUAGGGAUGUAUCAGCGGCUACUCUCAUCUGGUUUGGAGCCAAGUGUGCAGACCUUCACACCACUCAUUGACACCUUGUGCGAGGAAGGACAGGUUGAUCAUGCUGUUGAAUUACUUACCUUGAUGCAGGCUAAGGGCUUGGAACCGUUGGAACGUAGCAAUGAUAGUGUCAUCAAUGGGUUCUGUAAGGUCAGGCGGGCUGAUGAUGGUAUGGCAUGGUUGGCUAGCAUGUUGAAGAACAAUCUGAAACCUCAGGAACAGACGUUCAAUUCUUUGCUGGAGUCGCUGAGGAAAUCCGAGCGAAUGGAUGACGCACUGCUGAUUCUGAAUACAAUGUUUAAAGCUGGAUAUGAAUUAGGCAGUUUGGCUUCUGCUAUACUUGUUGAUAAGUUAUGCACAGGCAAUGUAUCUCAUCCUCAAACGUUGGAUGAUAUUUUGGUGAGCAGCUAG